AAAGGGCGGGGGGAGACUGAGAGGGGGUGGCGCGCGCGCCAUUUCUAGUCGUUUUCAAAGAGCCUCGCGCUCGUUCUCACGGGCCCCCAUCGCCGGCGCCCGCUUUGCCCUGCAUAAUAAAAUGGCUAAUCAGGUGAAUGGUAAUGCGGUACAGUUAAAAGAAGAGGAAGAACCAAUGGACACUUCCAGUGUAACUCACACAGAGCACUACAAGACACUGAUAGAGGCAGGCCUCCCACAGAAGGUGGCAGAGAGACUUGAUGAAAUAUUUCAGACAGGGUUGGUAGCUUAUGUCGAUCUUGAUGAAAGAGCAAUUGAUGCUCUCAGAGAAUUUAAUGAAGAAGGCGCCCUCUCUGUCCUCCAACAGUUUAAGGAAAGUGACCUGUCUCAUGUACAGAACAAAAGUGCAUUUUUAUGUGGAGUUAUGAAGACCUACAGGCAAAGGGAGAAACAAGGGAGCAAGGUACAAGAAUCAACAAAGGGACCUGAUGAAGCAAAGAUUAAGGCUUUGCUCGAGAGGACUGGUUACACAUUAGAUGUAACCACAGGUCAGAGGAAAUAUGGUGGUCCUCCUCCAGAUAGUGUGUAUUCUGGUGUACAACCUGGCAUUGGGACAGAGGUUUUUGUAGGUAAGAUACCAAGAGAUCUCUAUGAAGAUGAGUUGGUGCCACUGUUUGAAAAGGCUGGUCCCAUUUGGGACUUGCGUCUUAUGAUGGAUCCUCUGUCUGGUCAGAAUAGAGGAUAUGCAUUCAUUACCUUCUGUGGAAAGGAUGCCGCACAGGAAGCUGUCAAGCUGUGUGACAGCUAUGAAAUCCGUCCUGGUAAACACCUUGGAGUAUGCAUCUCGGUGGCAAACAACAGGCUGUUUGUUGGAUCGAUUCCAAAGAACAAAACCAAGGAAAACAUAUUGGAAGAAUUCAGCAAAGUCACAGAGGGUUUGGUGGACGUUAUUCUCUAUCAUCAACCCGAUGACAAAAAGAAGAAUCGGGGGUUCUGCUUCCUUGAGUAUGAAGACCACAAGUCGGCAGCACAAGCCCGGCGCAGGCUUAUGAGUGGGAAAGUCAAAGUCUGGGGCAAUGUUGUGACCGUGGAGUGGGCCGACCCUGUGGAAGAACCAGAUCCGGAGGUUAUGGCCAAGGUGAAAGUUUUAUUUGUGAGAAAUUUGGCCACUACAGUGACAGAGGAAAUAUUGGAGAAAUCCUUUUCAGAAUUUGGGAAACUAGAAAGAGUGAAGAAACUAAAAGAUUAUGCCUUUGUUCACUUUGAAGACCGGGGAGCAGCAGUUAAGGCCAUGGAUGAGAUGAAUGGGAAAGAAAUAGAAGGGGAAGAAAUUGAGAUAGUGUUAGCCAAGCCUCCAGACAAGAAAAGGAAAGAGCGCCAGGCUGCGAGACAGGCCUCCAGAAGCACUGCGUAUGAAGAUUAUUAUUACCAUCCCCCACCUCGUAUGCCGCCUCCUCUGAGAGGCCGGGGGCGUGGGGGGGGGAGAGGUGGCUACGGCUACCCCCCCGAUUACUAUGGCUAUGAAGAUUAUUAUGACGACUACUAUGGCUAUGAUUACCAUGACUACCGUGGAGGCUAUGAAGACCCCUACUAUGGCUACGAUGAUGGCUAUGCAGUAAGAGGAAGAGGAGGAGGAAGGGGUGGGCGCGGUGCUCCGCCACCACCACGGGGGCGCGGAGCACCACCUCCACGAGGUAGAGCUGGCUAUUCUCAGAGGGGGGCACCUUUGGGACCGCCAAGAGGAGCUCGGGGCGGGAGAGGGGGCCCUGCACAGCCACAGAGAGGCCGUGGUUCGCGAGGAGCUCGGGGUAACCGUGGGGGCAACGUAGGAGGCAAGAGAAAGGCCGAUGGGUACAACCAGCCUGACUCCAAGCGCCGUCAGACCAACAGCCAGCAGAACUGGGGCUCCCAGCCCAUCGCCCAGCAGCCGCUUCAGCAAGGUGGCGACUAUUCUGGGAAGCGUGGUUGAGGCUGCCCUGACCUGACAUGUCAUGAUGUCGACUUGCUAGGUGGGGUUCGCUGGGGACGAUACCAAUGGAGUUGUUGGUAAGAGCACUUUUCUUUCUCAUUUUUUGAUCAGUAAAGGGACACAAAGGGUGGGGGAAAUACCCAAACCCUUUAAAUUGGGUAAUUUACAUGGGGUAUGUAGAAAAAUGAGACUUUCAUACUUACUUUACUAUUCUGCUGUCAGCAGUUUGUAAAAAUUUAGUGAGGACUCACACACUAUAUAAUAUUGAAUGAAGUAUUUGCCAAUUCAUACAAAAUGUAGAGUGCUCAGUCUUCAAGAAAUUUACAAUCUAAUAAGCAGUUUAAAUAAGGGGCAGAAUGGUGAUGGAGUCUUAAGACUGGAAUUAGAGGAGACUAAUCCCAGUACUUUCACUGAUGUGCCUUAGGACAGGACAUUGAUAAACAUUUUUGACUUCAUGGGCCUCCCUGCUGUCAUCCUAAAAUAAAAGAUGGGAUGGAGUAGGGCUGGCGGUGGAUGUUCUGCCCACUCAAAUGAUCUGUGGGAAUGGCUUAUCACACAUUUGCAUUAUCUUGUGAUUCCUUUUUACUUUUCCAUUGCUGUUUCAUGCAAAUGUGACCACUAGCUAGUUAUUUUAGUGAUAUCCUGAAGAUUUAGUUUGAGAGACUGGUUUUAAAAGUAGAGAAAUUGGCUUUUUGCAGUCAACCUUCCAAAAGGAAGGGAUUCUUCAUUCAUGUUUGUAAGUAGAAAUUACAGAUUUAUAAAUUUGGGAUUUAGAAAAAGUAGUGUGAAUCAUCUAUAUUGAGGACAGUGUGGAAGUUCAGUGGGAUAAAUUGAUGGCAUUAUAAUCACUAAUAAUAAUAAUUGACAUACAAUGCUUUGACAUCUGCAAGGCAUUUUAUAUAACUUAUAGACAGCAUCACAAACUAAACAACUUGUCUUUUCUAGGACACUCCCAGGACACGAUGACUAUGGGGUAUAUUAGAAUUAACAAUGAAAAGGGAUCACUUUUUAAAUAAGACUUAUAAAAUGUAAACAGAUUUAUAAUUUACAAUAUUUAACAGUAAUAUCAUUAAUGCACUUUCACCCAGUUUCACUGUAAUAUUGUCAAAUUUUGCUGGCCAAUAGGGUAGUUAACUCUCCUAAGGCUCUACUUAUCAUCUUUUCUGUUUUGUGCUUCUUACUGUUCUUGGUCCUGUUGUGUUUGGGUGGGGGGAGAGGAACCUGUUCAUGUCUUCAGGAGGGGAACUCUGAACAGUAAAGCCUUUGUUUUGCCCUCCUAGCAGGACAUCCAGGAUGGUGAUGGGGGACCAAAAAGGAGACAAAUCCUGGAGAGGUUGGGGGAAGAGUGGCAACCAAGCAUGAUUGGGGUUGGGCAGGGCCCACUGUCAGUAGUAGGAGAUUCCGUGAUUUUGUGGCUGUGGGUACUGUCUCCACCAAUGCACAUUGCACCUUGUUUAUGCUUCAGUAGAUGGUCUUCAUGAAUUGGCGCAUUCACGAUCACCCUGCGGCUAACCUGGUAAUGAGGCUCUCUGAACUUAGCUAGGCGGGUCCUUGGAUGGCAGACGCCCAGCUCACCGCUGGGCCCGUGCUCAGUGUUUGCAGCUCGCCAGGACCUUCCGGAGCUUGCACUUUGCCUGGCAUUGCCUUCAGGAACCCAGGUCACUUCCACACUACCAUGUUGCUUCAAAGGAAGACUUCAAUGGAGGCAUCCUUCAGUCCAAGACAUCAGAAACUUAGGGAUCUAAAUAACUGGAUUUCCUCAUGGAGAUCACCAGCACUACUGUUUCACAUAUGGUCUGGCAGAAUUAAGAUGUCAGAAAAAUUAAUUACCCUGCAUUACAUUCAUGAGGAUCUUCUUGCCACAUUAGCUAAGAUACAUGCCCAAGGUCACAUACCUAUAAGUGGCGGACCAAGACUGGACCUUGGAGCUCCUGAGUGCAGGGCCUGUGUGCGUGCUGAGAUCGGACAGUUCUGUCCUUGCCUGUCUUUUAUCUGGGACCCAAGAUUCCUGAGAUAGAUGCUGCAGGGUGCACCUACGGGACCAGGGAUUUGGAGAAAGCCUUCUGGAGAAGAGCAGACCCCGAGGGAAGGAAGGGCAAGCCUGUUUUAGUUUUCUCUCAGUGAGAGAAGUGGCCAAGACUCCACACCUGCCUACAGUAGUUCUAGAAAAGGUUAACAUCGAGUGCAGGUCUCUUUAUGACUUGAUUGAUCUUUCUGUGGCCAUUCUGAUGAGGAAUCUCUCCAAACCUAGCUAGGAGACUGACCCCCAGAAGACAAGCAGUUACACACUGGGCUCAUCCUUGAAGACUCUUCCAGCCUGAUGGGACAAUGAGGGCCCGGGCUCUCUUGGCCUGGCCUCUGAGAAGCAAAGGUGGCUUCUUCCCAGUGUGGGCCGUCCUUCUCUGGUGCCUGUGGUUAUGCCUUUUGAAACUUAUUCUCUGUUAGCAUCCACCUAAACCAGCUCUUCCUGGUCAUUUUUCCUGGAAUAAAGUGCAGGAGUCCCAUGAAAGCAUCUUGUGUGCUCCAGCGAACCAGCAGCCUUCAAACAUCCCAGCUGGCUGAGAAGGAUGAAGCAAGUGCCAAUUGAGAAAUCCUAAUUAAGCAGGUGUGCUUGGAAGACCCUGCCAUACGGGCAGUCUGUCCAGCAUCACACCUUGUGUAAAGUAAUUGUAUUCUGACUAUCCGGGGAUGUUAGAUUUUCUUUAAAAACAUUGAUGUACUUUUCAAAAAAACAAAAAAGGAAAAACAAAUCCCCAAACCCAGUUAUACAAGUGGAAAAUACGAGCUGCAGCAGGAGGAGUGAAUGUUGUCGCUAGGGAAUCCCCCUUUCCAAAUAAGCGGCCUUCUGCUCUCCUGCCUGCUCCUGAAUUCAUUCCUAAACACUGCCAUUUGGGUAGAGAAGCCAGCUGCCUCUCAUAAUAAAUUCCUCAUCCCAUGGUGUUUGUCCUGAAGUAGCAAUGACUUGAGCAUGUCACGGUCAGGUAGGCCGUGGGAGCCGAGGGCUCCGCCUGGGCGGAUGUGGACGGCUCCGAGCCGCCGUUUCAGCCCUCCGAGUACUUUGUGCAAGAAGCUGGCGACUUCCGCCUUCUCCCUGGGCUCUCUAAGGGGUUCUGCCCAUUUUCCGGUCCCCUCUCCCCCCCUGUCCGUACUGAGCUUUUGGGCGCUGCGCAUUUCCCAGGAGGGUGCCCCAACCAUCGCUCCAGCGCGCAUUCGUGCGGUUUAUCCCUGCCGUGCUCUGGGAAGGGAGCGACGUGCUGCUGUUUUCCUCAUUUUUACAGCGGAGAAAACUGAGGCCGACAGCGUUCAGUGCCGGGCCCAGAGUCAGCGCCAGCGAAUGCCCGGGGCUGGCUUGGAACUGGGGCCUCCCAGGGCUCUGUGCCCUGCGCCAUCCCAAAGGAGAGCCGGAGACCUUCGUCCCCGGCUGCCGCUGAGGCGGGCUGCGCCCUAGGCGACAGGAGCGGUAACAGGGCCCGAGGCGCGUGGUUCUUCUUGGGUGCGGGAGCCUCACUUCCCUUCUGGGAAGCUCCUCUCAGCAGCUCAGGGAGGCCGGGGCUCGUGCCCCUGUUUUCCACGUGACGAGCUGCCGCCCAAAGAAUGCCGCCUGCGGAGAUGCCCAGGAAGCCCUGGACAAAGAGGCCAGACUUAGUUAUCAGAGCCCAGGUAGCUAACGCCUCCCCUCCUCGGCUCCUCAGGGACCUGCUUUGCGCCACCUCUUUUGUAAACUGGAUUAAAAAAAAUAAACUUUUCUAAAGCGA
This is an RNA transcript of Antechinus flavipes (yellow-footed antechinus), 5724 nucleotides long. It is a transcript of the gene named heterogeneous nuclear ribonucleoprotein R, with no coding region annotated. The transcript is spliced from 16 exons. NCBI's taxonomy places the organism in Eukaryota, Metazoa, Chordata, Mammalia, Dasyuromorphia, Dasyuridae. The record is from RefSeq and is a predicted model, not a curated record.